Molecule: RNA transcript, 1075 nt
Organism: Capra hircus (goat)
Lineage: Eukaryota; Metazoa; Chordata; Mammalia; Artiodactyla; Bovidae
Gene name: 60S ribosomal protein L12 pseudogene
Exons: 1
Source: RefSeq, a predicted model, not a curated record
GUCCGCUCACCAUUACCCUUAUCAUAGAAAAUGCCGUUUAUUUUCAUUUUUUCACAAAAUACUUAGUGCGUACCUCUUGUCAGCCAGGCACUCUUCUAAGGCUCUGGGGGGUUAGCAAUAAAGAGAACAGCCCCAAAUCCCUGCCCUUGAGGAGCCCAUGUUCUGGAGGGACCACUCCCCGGGCUCAGAGGAAGGCGCACAGCAGGGCCCCAGCUGUUGGUGCCGAGGUGGCAGGUGCAGAUGAUCCUGAUGCAGCCCAGCAGAGCCCAGCAGAGUCCAGGACGAGCUGCGAUCAUGCUGACUGGGAGACGGAAGCCCGAGCAGGCGGAGGAGCCGGAGAGGACUGAGGCAGGCGGAGGGAGGGGUGGGGUGUUCGCCUGGCCUUCCCUCCAAAGUCGCCUCCUUGUGUCUUUUCUGACCCACAGCAUCUUUUUUUGUUUUUACCACCCACUCAUCUCCGCCCUAAUAAGAAAGGGCGUGGACAUAUAAGAAGCUGUGCAGCUUUCAGCUUUCAGCUCAGAGGAGGCAAAGGUGCAACUUUCUUCAAUCGUCCCGAAUCCGGGUUCACCAGCCGCCUUCACCAUGCCGCCAAAGUUUGACCCCAACGAGAUCAAAGUCGUGUACCUUUUGCACUGGUGCACUGGUGGGGAAGUCCGUGCCAUGUCUGCCCUGGCCCCCAAGAUUGGCCCCCUGGGUCUAUCUCCAAAAACGGCUGGUGAUGACAUCACCAAGGCAACUGGUGAUUGGAAGGGUCCAAGUAUUACAGUGAAACUGACCAUUCAGAACAGACAGGCCCAGAUUAGGGUAGUACCUUCUGCUUCUGCCCUGAUCAUCAAAGCCCUCACGGAACCACCAAGAGAAAGAAGCAGCAAAACAUUAAGCACAGUGGAACCAUCACUUUUGAUGAGAUCGUCAGCACUGCCCAGCAGAUGUGGCAUCAGUCUCUAGAUGGAGAACUCUCUGGAACCAUUAAAGAGAUCACCCAGCCUGUGGGCUGCAAUGUUGAUGGCUGCCACCCUCAUGACAUCAUAGAUGACAUCAACAGUGGUGCUGUGGAGUGCCCAGCUAGUUAAGA